RNAcentral lists this microRNA (22 nucleotides) under Bos taurus (domestic cattle). RNAcentral describes it as "bta-miR-2285p". Lineage: Eukaryota; Metazoa; Chordata; Mammalia; Artiodactyla; Bovidae. The record is from miRBase by way of RNAcentral.
AAAAACUUGAGUGAACUUUUGG